Long non-coding RNA from Mauremys reevesii (Reeves's turtle), 527 nucleotides. RefSeq lists it as uncharacterized. NCBI's taxonomy places the organism in Eukaryota, Metazoa, Chordata, Testudines, Geoemydidae. The record is from RefSeq and is a predicted model, not a curated record. The transcript has 3 exons.
GGGCUGGUUAAUGAAGACACAUGCAAACCAUUGUUAAGGGAGCCCUAAGGGUGACUGGCCUAGUGGAUAGGGGAAAAGCAGCAGACAUGAUAUAUCUUGAUUUUUAGUAAUGCUUUUGACAGAGUCCACAUAAUAGUCUCAUAACGGAAGUUGGAUGAAAUCAUCAUCAGAUUCAUAGUUCUACCAUGCCUGUGGCUUCCCAUCUCCAUCAAACUGGCUUCUGCACAACAAUAGGGUAUUCCAUCAGUCCAUCACCUGCCUCACACACGUCUACUUCCCCAAACUGGAUCCAACAGCAUGAAGGACAGGAGCACUCCAAAACCUGCUGACUCCUCCAACUCUCUUAGCUACUACUAAAUUAAACAUUAUUGAAAUCUAUCAUCACAAACAGGAUCUGACCCUGCAAUAACCCAAGAGCAGCAGGCACUGGUCCACAUCUUGCAGCACUAUGCUGCUGGCUGGGUAGGGACAUGGCUCCUUCACAGGGCAUUGACAGCUGGGCAUGCCCACUGAGAGCAGAAGGGAGU